This 253-nucleotide ribosomal RNA is filed under the name uncultured bacterium. RNAcentral describes it as "partial 16S ribosomal RNA". It matches the Rfam family "Bacterial small subunit ribosomal RNA", at positions 524 to 776 of the family's 1533-position model. The record is from RNAcentral.
UACGUAGGGGGCAAGCGUUGUCCGGAAUCAUUGGGCGUAAAGCGCGUUUAGGCGGUCCGGUAAGUCGGCUGUGAAAGUCCAGGGCUCAACCCUGGGAUGCCGGUCGAUACUGCCGGACUAGAGUUCGGAAGAGGCGAGUGGAAUUCCCGGUGUAGCGGUGAAAUGCGCAGAUAUCGGGAGGAACACCAAUGGCGAAGGCAGCUCGCUGGGACGUUACUGACGCUGAGACGCGAAAGCGUGGGGAGCAAACAGG